This 253-nucleotide ribosomal RNA is filed under the name uncultured bacterium. RNAcentral's name for it is "partial 16S ribosomal RNA". It matches the Rfam family "Bacterial small subunit ribosomal RNA", at positions 524 to 776 of the family's 1533-position model. The record is from RNAcentral.
UACAGAGGUCUCAAGCGUUGUUCGGAUUCAUUGGGCGUAAAGGGCGCGUAGGCGGCACAGCAAGUCGGGAGUGAAAGCCCGGGGCUCAACCCCGGAACGUCUUUCGAAACUGCUGAGCUCGAGUGCGGAAGAGGCAACUGGAAUUCCCAGUGUAGCGGUGAAAUGCGUAGAUAUUGGGAAGAACACCUGAGGCGAAGGCGGCUAACUGGUCCGGUACUGACGCUGAGGUGCGAAAGCGUGGGGAGCAAACAGG